CGAACGCUGGCGGCGUGCUUAACACAUGCAAGUCGAACGGAAAGGCCCUGCUUUUGUGGGGUGCUCGAGUGGCGAACGGGUGAGUAACACGUGAGUAACCUGCCCUUGACUUUGGGAUAACUUCAGGAAACUGGGGCUAAUACCGGAUAGGAGCUCCUGCUGCAUGGUGGGGGUUGGAAAGUUUCGGCGGUUGGGGAUGGACUCGCGGCUUAUCAGCUUGUUGGUGGGGUAGUGGCUUACCAAGGCGUUGACGGGUAGCCGGCCUGGGAGGGUUAGCGGCCACAGUACGACUAAGAUACGGCCCAGACUACGACAGGCGGCAGUAGGGGAGAAUGUUGCACAGUGGGAGGAAGCCUGAUGCAACGACGCGGGGGGGGGGAUGACGGCCUUCGGGUUAUAAACCGCUUUCGCCGGUGACGAAGCGGGAGUGACGGUAGUGGGUGAAGAAGCACCGGCUAACUACGUG
Molecule: ribosomal RNA, 466 nt
Filed under: uncultured bacterium
Lineage: Bacteria
Description: partial 16S ribosomal RNA
Rfam family: Bacterial small subunit ribosomal RNA
Source: RNAcentral